Molecule: ribosomal RNA, 2206 nt
Filed under: Serratia marcescens
Lineage: Bacteria; Pseudomonadati; Pseudomonadota; Gammaproteobacteria; Enterobacterales; Yersiniaceae
Description: partial 23S ribosomal RNA
Rfam family: Bacterial large subunit ribosomal RNA
Source: RNAcentral
GGUUAAGUGACUAAGCGUACACGGUGGAUGCCUAGGCAGUCAGAGGCGAUGAAGGGCGUGCUAAUCUGCGAAAAGCGUCGGUAAGGUGAUAUGAACCGUUAUAACCGGCGAUACCCGAAUGGGGAAACCCAGUGUGUUUCGACACACUAUCAUGUCAUGAAUACAUAGUGGCAUGAGGCGAACCGGGGGAACUGAAACAUCUAAGUACCCCGAGGAAAAGAAAUCAACCGAGAUUCCCCCAGUAGCGGCGAGCGAACGGGGAGGAGCCCAGAACCUGAAUCGGCUUGUGUGUUAGUGGAAGCGUCUGGAAAGUCGCGCAGCAAAGGGUGAUAGCCCCGUACACUAAAAUGCACAGGUCGUGAGUUCGAUGAGUAGGGCGGGACACGUGACAUCCUGUCUGAAUAUGGGGGGACCAUCCUCCAAGGCUAAAUACUCCUGACUGACCGAUAGUGAACCAGUACCGUGAGGGAAAGGCGAAAAGAACCCCGGCGAGGGGAGUGAAAUAGAACCUGAAACCGUGUACGUACAAGCAGUGGGAGCACCUUCGUGGUGUGACUGCGUACCUUUUGUAUAAUGGGUCAGCGACUUAUAUUUUGUAGCAAGGUUAACCGUAUAGGGGAGCCGUAGGGAAACCGAGUCUUAACUGGGCGAUUAGUUGCAAGGUAUAGACCCGAAACCCGGUGAUCUAGCCAUGGGCAGGUUGAAGGUUGGGUAACACUAACUGGAGGACCGAACCGACUAAUGUUGAAAAAUUAGCGGAUGACUUGUGGCUGGGGGUGAAAGGCCAAUCAAACCGGGAGAUAGCUGGUUCUCCCCGAAAGCUAUUUAGGUAGCGCCUCGUGAACUCAUCUUCGGGGGUAGAGCACUGUUUCGGCUAGGGGGCCAUCCCGGCUUACCAAACCGAUGCAAACUCCGAAUACCGAAGAAUGUUAUCACGGGAGACACACGGCGGGUGCUAACGUCCGUCGUGAAGAGGGAAACAACCCAGACCGCCAGCUAAGGUCCCAAAGUCAUGGUUAAGUGGGAAACGAUGUGGGAAGGCACAGACAGCCAGGAUGUUGGCUUAGAAGCAGCCAUCAUUUAAAGAAAGCGUAAUAGCUCACUGGUCGAGUCGGCCUGCGCGGAAGAUGUAACGGGGCUAAACCAUGCACCGAAGCUGCGGCAGCGACGCUUAGGCGUUGUUGGGUAGGGGAGCGUUCUGUAAGCCGUUGAAGGUGGCCUGUGAGGGUUGCUGGAGGUAUCAGAAGUGCGAAUGCUGACAUAAGUAACGAUAAAGCGGGUGAAAAGCCCGCUCGCCGGAAGACCAAGGGUUCCUGUCCAACGUUAAUCGGGGCAGGGUGAGUCGACCCCUAAGGCGAGGCUGAAAAGCGUAGUCGAUGGGAAACAGGUUAAUAUUCCUGUACUUGGUGUUACUGCGAAGGGGGGACGGAGAAGGCUAGGCUAGCCGGGCGACGGUUGUCCCGGUUUAAGCGUGUAGGGGGUGUGACCUGGUAAAUCCGGUUGCAUACUAACCCUGAGGCGUGAUGACGAUGCACUACGGUGCAGAAGUAGUUGAUGCCCUGCUUCCAGGAAAAUCCUCUAAGCUCCAGGUAACAUUAAAUCGUACCCCAAACCGACACAGGUGGUCAGGUAGAGAAUACCAAGGCGCUUGAGAGAACUCGGGUGAAGGAACUAGGCAAAAUGGUGCCGUAACUUCGGGAGAAGGCACGCUGGCAUGUAGGUGAAGUCCCUUGCGGAUGGAGCUGAAGCCAGUCGAAGAUACCAGCUGGCUGCAACUGUUUAAUAAAAACACAGCACUGUGCAAACACGAAAGUGGACGUAUACGGUGUGACGCCUGCCCGGUGCUGGAAGGUUAAUUGAUGGGGUCAGCCGCAAGGCGAAGCUCUUGAUCGAAGCCCCAGUAAACGGCGGCCGUAACUAUAACGGUCCUAAGGUAGCGAAAUUCCUUGUCGGGUAAGUUCCGACCUGCACGAAUGGCGUAAUGAUGGCCAGGCUGUCUCCACCCGAGACUCAGUGAAAUUGAACUCGCUGUGAAGAUGCAGUGUACCCGCGGCAAGACGGAAAGACCCCGUGAACCUUUACUAUAGCUUGACACUGAACAUUGAGCCUUGAUGUGUAGGAUAGGUGGGAGGCUUUGAAGCGUGGACGCCAGUCUGCGUGGAGCCAUCCUUGAAAUACCACCCUUUAAUGUUUGAUGUUCUAACUC